RNAcentral lists this ribosomal RNA (1332 nucleotides) under uncultured bacterium. RNAcentral describes it as "bacterial SSU rRNA". It matches the Rfam family "Bacterial small subunit ribosomal RNA", at positions 28 to 1381 of the family's 1533-position model. The record is from RNAcentral.
AUUGAACGCUGGCGGCAGGCUUAACACAUGCAAGUCGGACGGUAACAUAAAGAAGCUUGCUUCUUUGAUGACGAGUGGCGGACGGGUGAGUAAUGCUUGGGAAUCUAGCUUAUGGAGGGGAUAACUACGGGAAACUGUAGCUAAUACCGCGUAGAAUCGGGAGAUGAAAGUGUGGGACCUUCGGGCCACAUGCCAUAGGAUGAGCCCAAGUGGGAUUAGGUAGUUGGUGAGGUAAAGGCUCACCAAGCCGACGAUCUCUAGCUGGUCUGAGAGGAUGACCAGCCACACUGGGACUGAGACACGGCCCAGACUCCUACGGGAGGCAGCAGUGGGGAAUCUUGCACAAUGGACGAAAGUCUGAUGCAGCAAUUUCGCGUGAAGGAUGAAGCAUUACGGUGUGUAAACUUCUUUUUUGGAGGAAGACGAAUGACGGUACUUCAAGAAUAAGAGACGGCUAACUACGUGCCAGCAGCCGCGAUAAUACGUAGGUCUCAAGCGUUAUCCGGAUUUACUGGGCGUAAAGUGUCCGUAGUCUGAUCUGUAAGUCUGUUUUCAAAUCCUACGACUCAAUCGUAGAAAGGGAAUGGAUACUGCAGAUCUAGAAGUAUCUAGGGGUUAGUGGAAUUUCCGGUGGAGCGGUGAAAUGCGUUGAUAUCGGAAGGAACGCCGAAAGCGAAAGCAGCUAACUAUAGAAUACUUGACGAUGAGGGACGACAGUUUGGGGAGCAAACAGGAUUAGAUACCCUGGUAGUCCAAACCGUAAAUUAUGCUUGCUAGAUGUUUUUAUCAGUUUACUGGUAGGAGUGUCGUAAUCUAACGAGUUAAGCAAGCCGCCUGGGUAGUAUAUUCGCAAGAAUGAAACUCAAAGGGAUAGGCGGGGGAACACACAAGCAGUGGAUUAUCUAGAUUAAUUGGAUAAUAAGCCAAGAAUCUUACCUAGGAUUGACAUGUAUUGUGUCUCAGGUGAAAGCCUGAUAUCCGUAGCAAUACGGAGCUUUACACAGGUGGUGCAUGGUCGUCGUCAGCUCGUGCCGCAAGGUGUCUAGUUAAGUCUGGAAACGAGCGCAACCCUCGUGUUUAGUUAGUAUGUCUAAACAGACUGCUCGGGUAACCGAGAGGAAGGAGAGGAUGACGUCAGAUCCUCAUGCCCCUUACACCUAGGGCCUCAUAGAUAAUACAAUGGGUAGGUACAGCGAGAAGCAAAACCGCGAGGUGGAGCAAAUCUUUAAAACUGCCCUUAGUUCGGAUUGUACUCUGGAACUCGAGUACAUGAAGUUGGAAUUGCUAGUAAUGGCAGAUCAGCCAUGCUGCCGUGAAUACGUCCCUGUUCCU